UUUCCUAUUCAAAUGCUGAAAAAUAUUCAAUUGUACUAUGCUCAGGGAAUCCGAAUAUAUUGAACUGAAUAAUUUGGGCAAAACAACAACAGAUGUCACCUUGCUUUUCACAUGGGCUAAUUCUGUUGGAGCACAAUCUGAAUUUACUAGUCAUCACUUCAACUCAAAGAUAAAG
This is a long non-coding RNA of Vicia villosa (hairy vetch), 175 nucleotides long. RefSeq lists it as uncharacterized. The transcript has 3 exons. Lineage: Eukaryota; Viridiplantae; Streptophyta; Magnoliopsida; Fabales; Fabaceae. The record is from RefSeq and is a predicted model, not a curated record.